AUCCUUUUGCAGUUCAUAAAUGUGAUGAUUGGGUGUUCACUCUGCUGUGUGACAUGUGCCACUCUUAAGCCUUGUUACAAUGCCAACAUGUUACCCAUCUGACG
Suricata suricatta (meerkat) is the source of this 104-nucleotide small nucleolar RNA. Lineage: Eukaryota; Metazoa; Chordata; Mammalia; Carnivora; Herpestidae. The record is from Ensembl.